CCUACGGGUGGCAGCAGUGGGGAAUAUUGCGCAAUGGGCGAAAGCCUGACGCAGCGACGCCGCGUGAGGGAUGAAGGUCUUCGGAUCGUAAACCUCUGUCAGCAGGGAAGAACGGUCACUGUGCUAAUCAGCAGUGAAUUGACGGUACCUGCAAAGGAAGCACCGGCUAAAUACGUGCCAGCAGCCGCGGUAAUACGUAUGGAGCAAGCGUUAUCCGGAAUUACUGGGUGUAAAGGGAGCGUAGACGGAUGUGCAAGUCUGAUGUGAAAGGCGGGGGCUCAACCCCUGGACUGCAUUGGAAACUGUAAAUCUUGAGUGCCGGAGAGGUAAGCGGAAUUCCUAGUGUAGCGGUGAAAUGCGUAGAUAUUAGGAGGAACACCAGUGGCGAAGGCGGCUUACUGGACGGUAACUGACGUUGAGGCUCGAAAGCGUGGGGAGCAAACAGGAUUAGAUACCCCUGUAGUC
This 465-nucleotide ribosomal RNA is filed under the name uncultured bacterium. RNAcentral's name for it is "partial 16S ribosomal RNA". It matches the Rfam family "Bacterial small subunit ribosomal RNA", at positions 338 to 795 of the family's 1533-position model. The record is from RNAcentral.